Molecule: ribosomal RNA, 253 nt
Filed under: uncultured bacterium
Lineage: Bacteria
Description: partial 16S ribosomal RNA
Rfam family: Bacterial small subunit ribosomal RNA
Source: RNAcentral
UACGUAGGCAGCAAGCGUUGUUCGGAGUUACUGGGCGUAAAGGGUGCGUAGGCGGCUUUUUAAGUUUGGUGUGAAAUCUCCCGGCUCAACUGGGAGGGUGCGCCGAAUACUGAGAAGCUAGAGUGUGGGAGAGGAAAGUGGAAUUCCUGGUGUAGCGGUGAAAUGCGUAGAUAUCAGGAGGAACACCGGUGGUGUAAACGGCUUUCUGGACCAUAACUGACGCUGAGGCACGAAAGCGUGGGGAGCAAACAGG